ACAUACGGGUGGAGAUGCAAACACGUUUUGGGAUUUUACUAGAUGUUACGGGGAACUGUUACGUUAAAGAACUCAAUUACCCAGCAGUCUUUGUUGACGGACAUGCGCAGAGUAGAGGGCGGCUCGUAGUGUCGCGUGAGUUAAUGCUGUUAUCGCGAGAGGUCGCCAUUGGAGCCUCUGCGUUGAACAGCUGCAGGUCCAGUUGUAUGCAGUCCGUAUUUUAUAUUUUAAACUGCUUACUACACACCUAUGCUUACACCCAAACGGACUAAACCAAGUGGAGAUGCUUUGGACGGUGAGUGAUGACUUUUUCCUUGUGCGUUCUCCAGUCUUACCCACUUAAAUAGCGGGGAUACUGCGGGGAACGUGGUAACAAUGGCUCGUUUCUAACAGCUGUUUGAGGGAGAACGGUAUUAGUAUUUGCUAUGGACUUAAUUGCCAACAUUAAGAGCCUGUCAUAUGAGGCCAGACGUGAGUCGUGUUCUACAUUCAAGAGGGUUUUUAUUUAGCACAGCCCAAAGCAACCUAAAUUCGAUGACCUCAUAACGACCAGCAUACGUCUUUUAGCUAAGCUAACUACGGUAGCUUCACAGGGAUAAAAGACCCCUCUUCACGCUAUCAGCGCCACUUUGUUUACGUUUCCGUGUGCCCUAAAUAACUUUCUAUAAUCUGCCCGCAGCCUGCAGCCGGGCGCAGCUAAAUGACACGUAAUGUAUUAUGGCCCGUGCAAAGUCAUGCCACCAGUCUGAGGACAUCACUGGGAAUGGCACAUGGGACACGUGGCUUUCAACUCCAGCGAGGUGGGCUUCACCGCGGGCAAUCGUGGCAAAGACCCAAGUCGACUGGACCACAGCGGAAAAUGAUCCUUCCAGAGAAGAAGUUAUUUACUUCUACAACGAAUGGAAGAGUUACAACUUCCAGAUGACAGCUCGCCGCUCAUCCUUCUGGGCAACUUGAACAUCCGACAGAACUUAUGUGACCUACUGCGUUUAUUUUCUCCUUUAGCUCUCAUUUAAGUAUUAAAAUUCGCUGUAUUUUUGCAAGAGAGGCACCAAUCCUAUUUGAGUGACGUUUCGAAUGUGAAAUUGUAUUGGACCAUAUAGGUCAUCUGCAGAGCGUUGGCCCCUGGCGCAGUAAACCAGGGUUUGAUUCUUGGCAUGCACAAGACUCCUCAUGUGACUUAAAAUGAAUCCAGAAUGCAAUAUUUGUUCAGUAUGCAAGGGCAGUGAUUUAUUUAGUCAUGUUUGGUCAUGUUUUGUUUUUUUUACAUGACAAUAUGGUUUGGUACAUGCUGAGUUAAUGAAUAUACAUUCUAAAGUGCAAUGUCCAUAUGUUAAUAAGAGUUGUAUACGUUUAUCAUAGUCAACAUGGUGUGGAAAUAUCCCUUAUGUAGUUGGUCAAUGGGAACUAUAGUAGGCAGUAAUAACAGCUAAGGUAAUUACAGGUGGAUAUUUCUGGGAAUUAACCUUGAUUGAGACUGCAUCUAUGAUAUCUAAGAUAUACAGGACAAGAAAAAUGCACUGGAUGUGUAUAUGUGUUGAAUCAAUUAUACAGACGCAAACUGGAGAACGAGACAAGUGUUGCUGUGAUACUUAUUGUGGUCAUCGUGCCCGAGACCCGUAACGAUUACUCCGCAGGUCUUUUGCAGCGGGGCAACAGCCCGGCGUCGGUGGAUUCCGUUCGCGAGGCCGCAGAUUCAGGUUUGAAUGGCAGCCCCGAGAGUGAUUUGUUUAGUCUCUUUAGUCUUUUUUGACCCGCGAGCCCGGCCGACCGCCGCCCCACCCCGACGUGCGAGAAUAGGCGAAGGCCCGUUCAUCG
Molecule: long non-coding RNA, 1818 nt
Organism: Pungitius pungitius (ninespine stickleback)
Lineage: Eukaryota; Metazoa; Chordata; Actinopteri; Perciformes; Gasterosteidae
Exons: 3
Source: RefSeq, a predicted model, not a curated record